UACGGAGGGGGCUAGCGUUGUUCGGAAUUACUGGGCGUAAAGCGUACGUAGGCGGCUUUGUAAGUUAGAGGUGAAAGCCCGGGGCUCAACCCCGGAAUUGCCUUUAAGACUGCAUCGCUUGAACGUCGGAGAGGUGAGUGGAAUUCCGAGUGUAGAGGUGAAAUUCGUAGAUAUUCGGAAGAACACCAGUGGCGAAGGCGGCACACUGGACGACUGUUGACGCUGAGGUACGAAAGCGUGGGGAGCAAACAGG
Molecule: ribosomal RNA, 253 nt
Filed under: uncultured bacterium
Lineage: Bacteria
Description: partial 16S ribosomal RNA
Rfam family: Bacterial small subunit ribosomal RNA
Source: RNAcentral